AGUCGAGCGAAUCUUUAGGAGCUUGCUCCUAAAGAUUAGCGGCGGACGGGUGAGUAACACGUGGGCAACCUGCCUAUAAGACUGGGAUAACUUCGGGAAACCGGAGCUAAUACCGGAUAAUCCUUUUCCUCUCAUGAGGAAUAGCUGAAAGACGGUUUCGGCUGGCACUUAUAGAUGGGCCCGCGGCGCAUUAGCUAGUUGGUGAGGUAAUGGCUCACCAAGGCAACGAUGCGUAGCCGACCUGAGAGGGUGAUCGGCCACACUGGGACUGAGACACGGCCCAGACUCCUACGGGAGGCAGCAGUAGGGAAUCUUCCGCAAUGGACGAAAGUCUGACGGAGCAACGCCGCGUGAACGAUGAAGGCCUUCGGGUCGUAAAGUUCUGUUGUUAGGGAAGAACAAGUACCGGAGUAACUGCCGGUACCUUGACGGUACCUAACCAGAAAGCCACGGCUAACUACGUGCCAGCAGCCGCGGUAAUACGUAGGUGGCAAGCGUUGUCCGGAAUUAUUGGGCGUAAAGCGCGCGCAGGCGGUCUCUUAAGUCUGAUGUGAAAGCCCACGGCUCAACCGUGGAGGGUCAUUGGAAACUGGGGGACUUGAGUGCAGAAGAGGAAAGCGGAAUUCCACGUGUAGCGGUGAAAUGCGUAGAGAUGUGGAGGAACACCAGUGGCGAAGGCGGCUUUCUGGUCUGUAACUGACGCUGAGGCGCGAAAGCGUGGGGAGCAAACAGGAUUAGAUACCCCUGGUAGUCCACGCCGUAAACGAUGAGUGCUAAGUGNUA
This 783-nucleotide ribosomal RNA is filed under the name Bacillus sp. LKS-31. Its description in RNAcentral is "bacterial SSU rRNA". It matches the Rfam family "Bacterial small subunit ribosomal RNA", at positions 60 to 825 of the family's 1533-position model. The record is from RNAcentral. Lineage: Bacteria; Bacillati; Bacillota; Bacilli; Caryophanales; Bacillaceae.